Molecule: transfer RNA, 82 nt
Filed under: Candidatus Bathyarchaeota archaeon
Lineage: Archaea; Thermoproteati; Candidatus Bathyarchaeota
Description: tRNA-Leu
Rfam family: tRNA
About the family: Transfer RNA (tRNA) molecules are approximately 80 nucleotides in length. Their secondary structure includes four short double-helical elements and three loops (D, anti-codon, and T loops). Further hydrogen bonds mediate the characteristic L-shaped molecular structure. tRNAs have two regions of fundamental functional importance: the anti-codon, which is responsible for specific mRNA codon recognition, and the 3' end, to which the tRNAs corresponding amino acid is attached (by aminoacyl-tRNA synthetases). tRNAs cope with the degeneracy of the genetic code in two manners: having more than one tRNA (with a specific anti-codon) for a particular amino acid; and 'wobble' base-pairing, i.e. permitting non-standard base-pairing at the 3rd anti-codon position.
Source: RNAcentral
GCGAGGUUGGGGCUAGAGGCGCGGGGCUUAAGACCCCGUCCCCGCAGGGGGUUCGUGGGUUCAAAUCCCACCCCCCGCACCA